This 391-nucleotide long non-coding RNA is filed under the name Capsicum annuum. RNAcentral's name for it is "long non-coding RNA (CANN_LNC020806)". The record is from RNAcentral. Lineage: Eukaryota; Viridiplantae; Streptophyta; Magnoliopsida; Solanales; Solanaceae.
CCUCUUUUAUUUUGACCAACCGUCAUUACAAUACUUAUCGCGCCAAAUUGGUUAUUAUGAUGAAAUUGUCUUUCUUUUUAAAUUUUCAUGAUAUUAAGCACACUUAUUAUCCUAGAUUAUUGAAAACUUUUAGUGUUGAGACGGGUCUUCCAACUAAAUCAUCAUUUGCAAGGGGUAACACCAUAACAAAAAUUAUUUGAAUCCUUUUCAUCAUUGAAAUUUCUAUUUAUAAAUUAAUAACUAUUGAGAAAUAAUUUUCUUUUUACAAAGAACAAUCGUUUGCUGAUUACAAUAGAAAUUUGGUUAGCUGUUCGUGGCCAAUAAAAUUUUAUUAAUUUAAAAUCCGUACGAAAUUCGAAUUAUAUUAAAUUCAAAAUAUAUUAUUCCCCAA